GACGAACGCUGGCGGCGUGCCUAAUACAUGCAAGUCGAACGCUUCUUUCCUCCCGAGUGCUUGCACUCAAUUGGAAAGAGGAGUGGCGGACGGGUGAGUAACACGUGGGUAACCUACCCAUCAGAGGGGGAUAACACUUGGAAACAGGUGCUAAUACCGCAUAACAGUUUAUGCCGCAUGGCAUAAGAGUGAAAGGCGCUUUCGGGUGUCGCUGAUGGAUGGACCCGCGGUGCAUUAGCUAGUUGGUGAGGUAACGGCUCACCAAGGCCACGAUGCAUAGCCGACCUGAGAGGGUGAUCGGCCACACUGGGACUGAGACACGGCCCAGACUCCUACGGGAGGCAGCAGUAGGGAAUCUUCGGCAAUGGACGAAAGUCUGACCGAGCAACGCCGCGUGAGUGAAGAAGGUUUUCGGAUCGUAAAACUCUGUUGUUAGAGAAGAACAAGGACGUUAGUAACUGAACGCCCCCUGACGGUAUCUAACCAGAAAGCCACGGCUAACCACGUG
This 508-nucleotide ribosomal RNA is filed under the name uncultured bacterium. RNAcentral's name for it is "partial 16S ribosomal RNA". It matches the Rfam family "Bacterial small subunit ribosomal RNA", at positions 28 to 507 of the family's 1533-position model. The record is from RNAcentral.